CAACCAUCAAGCCCCGUGCUUGUGUUGGGGACCUGCGGCUGCCGCAGGCCCUGAAAGACAGUGGCGGGCUCGCUAGUCACACCGAGCGUAGUAGUAUUAUCUCGCUCAGGGCGUGCUGCGGGUUCCGGCCGUUAAACCCCCUUUACCCCAAA
RNAcentral lists this unclassified non-coding RNA (152 nucleotides) under uncultured Thielavia. Its description in RNAcentral is "sequence contains ITS2". Lineage: Eukaryota; Fungi; Ascomycota; Sordariomycetes; Sordariales; Chaetomiaceae. The record is from RNAcentral.